Molecule: long non-coding RNA, 652 nt
Organism: Gymnogyps californianus (California condor)
Lineage: Eukaryota; Metazoa; Chordata; Aves; Accipitriformes; Cathartidae
Exons: 3
Source: RefSeq, a predicted model, not a curated record
AGCAUCCUGCAACAAGAUCUUUGACAGAAAAAGAAGAAACUCUGUGAACAGGCCUUCCUGUUAAACUCAGGAAUGGAGGAAGCCGGCUGCCAGCCAGAGCUGGUUCCCGUGCAAGGUCCUGGAAUCGCGCUUGCAGGUGCCAGCAGGACACUGACCUGUGCAAGCGGGCUCCUGCAUGAGCUGCAGCAUCUCCUUGGUACUCGGCAAUAGCUGCAGCAGGAGCUGCAACACAAGCACGAGGGACUGAGCACGGGAGCAAGCCGUCCGCUAUUUCCAUUCUGCUGGAGGUCCACCCACGUCCGAGGUGGUGCUCCUGCCCCCAGGGCACCUUGUCCGCCAGGUAGGACAGAAGUCGGAACAGAAACACCGAUGAGGACACACCACUCAGCGAGCAGGGCUAUUCAUUCUCUGUGCUGACAUCCUGGCUGGGUGAGCUCUCUCUGGAGCAGGCUGGCUCCCAGCCUUCCCCGGGCAGGGGUCUGCCCAAGCGUGCCCAGCACCCACCCGCCACUCCUGGUCCCCAGGGGCCAGCCUGGGCUCCUCGCCCCUAGGGUGCAGCCAGUGCCAGCAUUGCCCGCGGCAGCAGGAGGGGGACGGGUGGCACCUGCCUGCGCGAGGGCUCCGGGAGCAGCGCGGGGGCCUCAACGUGGGG